RNAcentral lists this ribosomal RNA (393 nucleotides) under uncultured bacterium. RNAcentral's name for it is "partial 16S ribosomal RNA". It matches the Rfam family "Bacterial small subunit ribosomal RNA", at positions 523 to 918 of the family's 1533-position model. The record is from RNAcentral.
AUACGGAGGACGCGAGCGUUAUCCGGAUUCAUUGGGUUUAAAGGGUGCGCAGGCGGCCGUGCAAGUCAGCGGUGAAAGCCCGGGGCUCAACCCCGGAAGUGCCGUUGAUACUGCAUGGCUGGAAUGCGGUCGAGGCGGGCGGGACGUGGCGUGUAGCGGGGAAUUGCGUAGAUAUGCCACAGAACGCCGAUAGCGGGGGCAGCGCGCCAGGCCUGCAUUGACGCUCGGGCACGAAAGCGUGGGGAUCGAACAGGAUUAGAUACCCGGGUAGUCCACGCCGUAAACGAUGGGCGCUCGUCGUCGGCGGCAGACAGUCGGCGGCCAAGCGAAAGCGAUAAGCGCCCCACCUGGGGAGUACGGUCGCAAGGCUGAAACUCAAAUGAAUUGGCGGGG